GUCCGAUUCACCUGAAAAUUUCAGGGCAGAUAGAAUUAUGGAUCUUUACCUAACAAACAAUUUUACCCCUGACAGAUUUGCUCUAAAUGCUUUGGUUUCAGAGUUAUAAGCCAAAAUCUACAUUUUAUCCCUAUGUUCUAUUUCUAGCAAGGGUGGCCAUCUUGUUUGGUUGGCCGGGUCACGCCACACAUUUUUUAAACUAGAU
This 205-nucleotide long non-coding RNA is filed under the name Mytilus galloprovincialis (Mediterranean mussel). The record is from RNAcentral. Lineage: Eukaryota; Metazoa; Mollusca; Bivalvia; Mytilida; Mytilidae.